UUCUAUAGCUUAUAGGCUUAUAGUUUUUACAUGUAGGUCUUAAUUCUCAAGUGAGACUCUAAUAGUUUCAUUGAGGAUAGAGUCGCCAAGACUUUUUUUCCAUCUCUCUCAGGACUUGGAAUAGGAUCUUAAAUAUGGUGCUCAUUUAGAGGGCCUUAGUCAAUUCAUAAGUGUUAGAAUACAUUAAUUUUUUUUGGAAAUUAAGGCAUCCGAAAUAGCACUUUGAAAAUGCCAGUAGAUGAUUUAGAUUAAGAAUUUGCAGUAUUUUUACAUAAGAAAAAUUGCUUGUUUUAUUAAGGUGGCACUAGCUAUUGUGGCCCAAUUUUCUUAUUUCCAAAGCUAAUAUUGCUGGGCAAUAAGACUAAACCAUGCAAUCCUGUCAGUGUUGCUCAGUGAUUGAGCGUCAACCCAUGAACCAGAAGAUCACACCGUUUGAUACCAGUCAGGGCACAUGCAAACCAUCCAAUGAACUCAUUUUAAAUUAUAAACUGCAUACCUUCCUCACAGGAUAUAAUUUCAAGAAUCCUUGAGUGACUAUUUUCUCCAUUAAAUUUCACCCAAGACUUUAAAAAAUGGAUCAUUACUAAAAUAUUUUUGAUGUCUCUGUAGUAUUGAAGGGCAAAAGUCCUUUAUUUCCAUAAACUCAGCGAAGUGAAAAGGUAUAAUUCUUACUCGCUAACUUAAAAGCAUUUUUUGGAACUUCUUAAAAAAUGAUCUAUUUUUUCUCUCAUCUCUUCCUUUAUUAAAAAACUACAUAUUUCAUUGAUAUAAAUCAAAGCAAGAACACUCAUUUCCAAAUGUUAAAAUCAUUGGUACUGAUAUUUUUAUCUUUAAAUUAUGUAUUUGGAAUACUUGAAAAAGUGAGUGGGUUCUGUGCUGGUUAUGCUAGUCAAAUGCUUGUGAACUACUUCAGAUUGUAUAGUUUGUGAGAUUCCUAAUCCUAUAGAACAAAAAGAUUUACCUUGUGCAGAUGAGGUAGAAAAUAAAAGUUGAAAUGGUCUUGUUUCCUUCAAAUAAUAUUUAAAUUGUCUUUCUCCCUAAAGGGUCAAAAAAAGGAAAUUUGAAUUUGAGUCAGAUCUCUCAACAACUGUUCUGAGGUUUGUUCAAUUAAAAUUGAAAGCCAAGUAAGUUCAUUCAACGUUACCAAAUCUUGAAACUAAGUACAAUUUAAGUUUGAAACUUAGGAUUCUUCCCUCUUUCCAGAAUAUGUAGCUUUAGAGUUCUGAUUUGUUGAAAAGCUGAUCAAGUACUAUCCAUACUAAUAAGCAGUUGAAAAGUUAUCCCCAAAAGGCAUUGGAUCUAUGCACAUCCUUCUAUACUCAUUACCAUGCUCAGUUAAUUGCUGAUUUUUGAUGGUUGCUGAAGUGAAUAGUCUACCUACAUUUCUGCUUGUUUUCCCUAUAUAUUCAGCUAAACCAGACAAAAAGAAAACAAGCUACACACAUCAGUGCAGGUCUAUACAAACAAAACAAUGAGCAGUGGUAUAUUUAAUCUUUCCAUAUUGCUACUAAGAAUUUUGGACCCAAUAUGAGUCUCUCCUUCUACCCAGAUUUUUGACUACAUUGCAUUACGCUAAGCAUAUAAGUCAAAGAAUGUGUUAGUAUUUAAUAGCUGCACUGUGACCAUUAAAUCACUUCUAAAAUAAUGAUUUAUUACUGCUUGAUAAUUUUGUUCUGUGUAACCACCUCUGUGAAUUAGAUUCAAUCUUUGACAGCACUGAAAGUUAGGCUGAGGCUGGAUACAAAAUGAAGGUCAAAAAUUGUCCAUUAAAUUCUACCUGAAUCUUCCACAUGCUGUAUACUAAAGGUUUGUAUACUUCUUGUAUUUGGGUCAUAUCAAUAUCCAAGUCACUAUUAUAAAUAUUCCUUUAUUCUCCAAUAUUCUCCAAGAAAAGUUAUGUGCACAUAUAUGCGUGUUUAUGUCAAUGCAAUUUCUCCCAAAAUAUUUUCCUCCUGUACCACGUUUUAAGAAAGUCACAAUUUAACUUUGUAUAGAGCCUUUUCUUAGGGAAAAUUUCCUCUUCAUUCUCAUCUUUAAAUCUGUAUUUUGUACAGAUUUGUUAUAGAAAUAAUUUCUGAUGGUAGAUGUUUAGCAAUUUCUGCAAGAUCUAUUAAUGUUUUACUGUUUUCACAAAUAUUGGAAUUUAUAAAUUAGCAUAAGAAAAUCUUGGAUAAAAAUUUAUUGUAACAAUUUCUAUUUCCUCUACUUAGCAGUCACCAUUUAGUAUUGCCUCUGUGGGUAAAAAAUUAUCUUAUUAGAAAGAAGUAAAUUUAUUUCAAAGUUAUAUUUUAUUUAGAUCUAUGAAUAUAAUUAUGACAUACAAAAUGUGCUGAGCACAUUAGUGAUUCCAUAGCUGAUUCCAUAUGAAAUCAUAUAUGGUUCCAGAGUUGAUUAUCCAUGGUUAGUGAAUGCUCAGAGUUGAUGUGUCAACUCUUUGCUCACUAAACAUUUCGAGAAUUUUCUCCUAACAUUGAUAAACUUGAGUUUUUAAAGCAAGGUAUUGAAUGUUGAAUGAUUUCAGUGCAUUUGCAAAGCAUUUAUACAUCAUUAUUGUGUGCGUGUGUGUGUUUUACUAAAAGUAGCAGAAUAAAAAAUGAGACCCAAUCCAUAUUUAUGAUAAUAAUAUAAUUGCCUAGUUUCAGAGGUCAUAUAAAAAUAAUGUUUGUGAUGCUUUCAUUAAUAAAAUUCUAAAAGAAAUCAACAUAGAAACAAUAUUUCAAUACUACAGUAGCUCCAUUUUGCCUCCACAUUAGAUUUUAUAUCAGGGACUUAGAAGCAAUCCGUUAUCAUUAGCAUGUGCAAUUAAAAAUUAGAUGGAUCUGGCUGGUUUUUUUUCUACAAAAGCAGGGAAAUAUUUUAGUAAGACCCUUGGCUUUUAUGUAAAUGGUUAUACGUACAGAUACAUUUUCAUCGUUCAAAUCCUCAUUUGUAAAGUUACUGGGUGAAUAAUAAACACAAACGAGCAAAACAAUAUAAAACAAAACAAAAGCUGUGGAUGGUUUAUCAAGUCUAAAUCCAAAAGCCUACUGGACUCCUGAAACCUGGCCUUCCUGGUCCUCUUUGCAUAGGAAAAUCAAAAUACCAGGAUUCAUAAAAUUCUCCCCAAGGUUGACCCUUCCUUCGGGAUGAGUGUGGCCCAACAUUUCCAUAAUCAGAGUAGGUACCUCCAGAGGUUAUUCCCCAAAGCCCCUGAGUGUCUCUUUUGAUUUAGCUUUUUGCCAGAACGCACUGUUGUGAUAUAAAAAAGCGAUAAAGUAGUAUCUGGAAAGUUAAAAUGUUAUAAAAAAUUAAAUUACAUUUUAUUCCUCAGGCUUAAAACACAAAUUGAGAAUUAUUCAAAUUAAACUUACUUCCCAUACCUCAAAACUGAAAUAUGAUAGCACAGGGCAGUUACGAACAGAGGCAAAUAUUCAAAGUUUUGCACAUAGGUAGAAUCAGACAGAAAGUGUCAUAUAGCUUUUGAGGACACUGUAAUAUGAUAAAUUUGAAGAGCAAACAAAAUAACACCCCCUUGAAAUUAUUCUUCGUUGUGGAUUUCAAUUAAUACAUAAAUGUGGUCAUUUUUGGCUAAUAGGACCCUAUGCUAUGAAUUGUUAUUUCAAGAUCAAUAGCAACAACCAUAAAUAUUAUCUAAACAAUUUGGGUGCAAAACCCCAAAGAAAUUCUAAGAAAAUUAGCUGAUUUGGAAAAAUAUUAAAAUAACUAAACCUGUUUAUUAUAUGUAUAGUUAGUAGUUGCUUCACUGUUGAAGGUUUAUGCAAUUCUCCCAUAAUACAUUUUAUUCAAAACGUAUGCAACUAUACAUUUAUAUGCCAAUGGAAUUAGAAAAUUAGAUGGUGUCUGCAAGCCUUUAUGUAACAAAAGUUUAUCGUGGGCAAAGCAUUUUUGCAGAUACUUAUGGAUCCUCACACAAGCCUGUGAGGUAGGGAGGAAAGCCAUCUUUACAGUUCGAACCCUAAAGCUCAGAAACUUUGGGGACAUCUCCAAGAAUAAUACGUGUGAAUCUCCUUUGUUGUUGUUUGCUCCUAGUCUUACAUAUUUUCCUGCAGAUCCCAAGCAUAUAAGGGCUAAUCAGUCAGUGAGAUGGGACAAAUCUGAACCUAUGUAGGGAAUAAAAGUCAAUAUUAAGUCUAUAAGGUAUUGGGGAUAAUCUUUUCGGACUACAUUCUUAUCUGGCGAUGUAUAUAUUUUCGAUGACUGGCCAUGCCAUAAGUAAGCCAACUGUACUGAAGUCUAAACAAAUUACAAAAUUUCUGACAACUAAUUUUAGUUACAGGAAUGAUCAAAUCUUCUGAUUUAAACAUACUAAAACCAAUGGGGUCCAGGGGGAGGGAGAAAUAGAGUUCCCCAAAGGUUUGAACAGGGUGAGGUUUAUAGCUACUUUUUAGAUCAAAUCUUUCCCUGAUAUUUCAGAUUAUCUGAGUAUACCAUAAACCAUUCAUUUUAUCAAUUUAAUAAAAAGUGUUUUUUUUUUCUUUUAAAAUAAAAGGGAGCCUGUGGGACAGAAACAACCAUCUCUGUGCUUCAGAGCGGUGCACAGUCAGUGCAUAGAAAUUGCAUACAUUAUAGUGCAAGCAGCAAAUCCCCAUGCUCCAUCCAUUCCGUAUGGAGAAAAGAAGUGGGGAGGGCAAAGAAAAAUGGCCCAUACAAGUCUGUGACAGAGUGGCCUAAUAGACUGGGUAUCUCUCACGUCACUUAAACAUAAGACGAAGCUAAUGAGAUCUGUCACAAUAACAGAGCAUGGGUCUCAAAAGUCCACCCAGAAAAGUGGACAAGGAGGUCUUGAUUACCUUCUCAAGUUUUAUUCUGCAGUGAACCACCCCUAGAAAUCAGUCAUAAGUGAGUUUGAACCUUUCUACUUCGUUUUGUUUUGGGGAAAAAAAAUCACAAGGUAUUGAAACGAAUAUCAUUGUUUGGUUGAAUCCAGGUAUUCUUAAGUAAACAGUACCACAGACUUUAUUGAGCAAUUGAAAAUAUACACAAGGUACAAUAGCUUUUUCUCUGUUUGUGUUGUUUUGUUUAAUUUGACUUUCUUCUGAUUAAAUAACCCAGUUUCGAUCAUGAAAAGGGCACUUGUUUCUACAGUGGCUGUGUACAGCUUGCUCAGUUCCAAGUACUGUUCCCACACUUCUUCUUUGUCAUGGCUGAGGUUAUGUCUUCACUUGCUCAGGCAGAAAAUUCUAGAAUGUUGAAAGAAUGGCCCCCCUAAGUUGUUCUUUCAGAUUCCAUUUCUCCA
Molecule: long non-coding RNA, 5236 nt
Organism: Myotis brandtii (Brandt's bat)
Lineage: Eukaryota; Metazoa; Chordata; Mammalia; Chiroptera; Vespertilionidae
Exons: 3
Source: RefSeq, a predicted model, not a curated record